UCUUCAAUAUAAACUUGCUCUUAACCAACUUAGAUAUAUGAUAUUUAGCAAACACAAAGAACACUGAAGGAAGUUUAAUGUGGUACAGUAAUUUCUUGCAUAAGGAUACAAACUGCCGCUGCAACUAUAAUCUAAGAGCAAUACAGUUGAAGUGGGUUCUCAAAGACUGCCUGUGCCCCAGUGUGCUAUACUGUAUGUUUAGAGGCUAAGGGCAAAUUGGAUGCAUUUUGUGACGAAAAUUGCUCUGUACCAGCUAAAUCAGUGCUGUGACAAAAAAUAAGGCAACUUGUAAAGUUAAACGUAUUGGAUAAAGUGACAUCAGACACUUUGGUUCACGUCUACUGUAUACUGAUAAAAUCUGUGGACUCACCAUUCUAAGGGGAAAAGCCAACAUGAAGUUUCCAGAUUCAAAUCAGACAUUCAAUGAAUCUUAUGACUAUGACUUCCCGGAGCGGCGGUGGUAACACGCAUCGCGUCUGGUUGCUUGGCAACGGAAUGACGUCACUGACGGGCGCCGCUGGCCCAGCCCCGGAGCGCGGAUGCGACUCGCCGCUGGCGUCCGGAAGCAGAACGAGGGGAGAUCAUACACUGGUGCCUAUUUAGGUGAGUACA
This is a long non-coding RNA of Pseudophryne corroboree (corroboree frog), 612 nucleotides long. RefSeq lists it as uncharacterized. The record is from RefSeq and is a predicted model, not a curated record. The transcript is spliced from 5 exons. Lineage: Eukaryota; Metazoa; Chordata; Amphibia; Anura; Myobatrachidae.